RNAcentral lists this ribosomal RNA (462 nucleotides) under uncultured bacterium. RNAcentral's name for it is "partial 16S ribosomal RNA". It matches the Rfam family "Bacterial small subunit ribosomal RNA", at positions 28 to 507 of the family's 1533-position model. The record is from RNAcentral.
GACGAACGCUGGCGGCGUGCUUAACACAUGCAAGUCGAACGGAAAGGCCCUUCUGGGUACUCGAGUGGCGAACGGUUGCGUAACACGUGGGUGAUCUGCCCUGCACUUUGGGAUAAGCCUGGGCAACUGGGUCUAAUACCGAAUAGGACCACGCGCUUCAUGGUGUGUGGUGGCAAGCUUUUGCGGUGUGGGAUGGGCCCGCGGCCUAUCAGCUUGUUGGUGGGGUAAUGGCCUACCAAGGCGACGACGGGUAGCCGGCCUGAGAGGGUGACCGGCCACACUGGGACUGAGAUACGGCCCAGAGUCCUACGGGAGGCAGCAGUGGGGAAUAUUGCACAAUGGGCGAAAGCCUGAUGCAGCGACGCCGCGUGAGGGAUGACGGCCUGCGGGUUGUAAACCUCUUUCAAUAGGGACGAAGCGCAAGUGACGGUACCUAUAGAAGAAGAAACGGCCAACUACGUG